Molecule: ribosomal RNA, 197 nt
Filed under: uncultured bacterium
Lineage: Bacteria
Description: partial 16S ribosomal RNA
Rfam family: Bacterial small subunit ribosomal RNA
Source: RNAcentral
ACGCUCGACACCUACGGAGGCAGCAGUGGGGAAUAUUGCACAAUGGGGGAAACCCUGAUGCAGCGAUGCCGCGUGAAGGAAGAAGUAUCUCGGUAUGUAAACUUCUAUCAGCAGGGAAGAAAAUGACGGUACCUGACUAAGAAGCCCCGGCUAACUACGUGCCAGUAGCCGCGGUAAUCUGAGCGGGCUGGCAAGGC